CAAGUACCGUGAGGGAAAGAUGAAAAGCACUUUGGAAAGAGAGUUAAACAGUAUGUGAAAUUGUUAGAAGGGAAACGAUUGAAGUCAGUCAUGUCUUCUGGACUCAGCCGGUUCUUCCGGUGUACUUCCAGUCGACGGGGUCAACAUCAGUUUUGCUCGGUGGAUAAGGGCUGGAGGAAGGUAGCACCCCCGGGUGAACAUAUAGCCUCCUGUCGCAUACGCCGGGUGGGACUGAGGAAUGCAGCAUGCCUUUCGGCCGGGGUUCGCCCACGUACGUGCUUAGGAUGUUGAUAUAAUGGCUUUAAACGACCCGUCUUGAAACACGGACCAAGGAGUCUAACAUAUCUGCGAGUAUUUGGGUGUUAAACCCGGGUGCGCAAUGAAAGUGAAUGUAGGAGGGACCCGCGAGGAGCACCUUCGACCGAUCUGGAUCUUUAGUGAUGGAUUUGAGUGAGAGCAUAUAUGUUGGGACCCGAAAGAUGGUGAACUAUGCCUGAAUAGGGCGAAGCCAGAGGAAACUCUGGUGGAGGCUCGUAGCGAUUCUGACGUGCAAAUCGAUCGUCAAAUUUGGGUAUAGGGGCGAAAGACUAAUCGAACCAUCUAGUAGCUGGUUCCUGCCRAAGUUU
RNAcentral lists this ribosomal RNA (626 nucleotides) under Zyzygomyces mobergii. RNAcentral describes it as "Basidiomycota sp. AMM-2022g partial large subunit ribosomal RNA". The record is from RNAcentral. Lineage: Eukaryota; Fungi; Basidiomycota; Tremellomycetes; Filobasidiales; Filobasidiaceae.